This 16-nucleotide ribosomal RNA is filed under the name Diploschistes gypsaceus. RNAcentral describes it as "partial 18S small subunit ribosomal RNA". The record is from RNAcentral. Lineage: Eukaryota; Fungi; Ascomycota; Lecanoromycetes; Ostropales; Graphidaceae.
CUUGGUCAAUUUAGAG